This is a long non-coding RNA of Mastomys coucha (southern multimammate mouse), 510 nucleotides long. RefSeq lists it as uncharacterized. The record is from RefSeq and is a predicted model, not a curated record. The transcript is spliced from 2 exons. NCBI's taxonomy places the organism in Eukaryota, Metazoa, Chordata, Mammalia, Rodentia, Muridae.
CUGAGGAGUUAGGAGUCAGACAACCCAGUUCAUAUGGGAGAGACCAUAGAGACACAGCAUCCUGUUGGUGCUCGUUUAAAAGAUGCAUCAGAGACAUCUGAACCACAUGCAAAAGGUGCAUUAUGAUCAGUCUUUGUGCUCUGAACCUUACCACUGUUAACAGACCCUAGAAUGCCAAUGCUGCCGAUAGACCUGCUGAUAGGCCUGAGGCCUCUAUGGCCUCUCAGAGUCCUGUGCUUUCUUGAACCUGUCAGAUCAAUUCCGACUUCUUCGCUGCAUUUCCAAUGCUGUUAUAAUUUGAAUCUGAACUGUUUCCCACAGGGUCAUGUUUUGAAAGCUUCGUCUCCAGGUAGCUGUGCAGUUUCAGGAAGCUGCCAAGCCUUUCAGAAGUGGGACCCUGCUGGCUACAGGCAUGCCUUUGAAGGUGUACAAUAUAAAUGUGGAAAUGUUUCCUACACAAAUUCCCAACAAGAAACUUGCUUGGCAUUCUAUAACCAAUAAAAUAUCAAA